RNAcentral lists this unclassified non-coding RNA (567 nucleotides) under Sedum trichromum. Its description in RNAcentral is "partial contains external transcribed spacer and 18S ribosomal RNA". The stretch from base 513 to 567 matches the Rfam family "Eukaryotic small subunit ribosomal RNA", at positions 1 to 55 of the family's 1831-position model. Lineage: Eukaryota; Viridiplantae; Streptophyta; Magnoliopsida; Saxifragales; Crassulaceae. The record is from RNAcentral.
GGCGGCCUUUUAGCCAUUGCUUUGUUGAUCUGAUUUCAAGUUUUCCCGUGUGUUAAUAAAAGGUCAGAUUGAGGGCAUUUUGGUUAGAUCGACGCGUUGGCGUGUGAGUGGCCAAAUUAAUGUUUGCGUUGGCUGGCUCCUUGCUUGCACAGCGAACUGUCGGCGCAUACAUAUAUCAGUUGAGACGGAGUUGUGAUUGUUGGAUUUUUGUGUUGUCAACCCAAUUGGUGGAAUUCAUACGGCCCUGAAGUGUGGCUUCGCCGAACACCCUGUGAGGUGUUAGGCGGACGUUGAAGCUGUCCCUUUUUACGCCAUGCUCUCCCUUUUUCGGGAACCAUGGAAAAUUGGCGGUGUUGCGUGUUGCCUCGGAUGCAGAGCAUGAAGCGAGCAUGUUGUCUAUCCUCAUUGCUCAUCAGAGCUCUUGAUUGCUUGGAAAGAGAGAUCGCCGCGCUUGGUUUUAGCUGUCGACUUGUCGACCAGCUCUUAACUUUGCCGGCGUCUUUAAUGAUUGCUACCUGGUUGAUCCUGCCAGUAGUCAUAUGCUUGUCUCAAAGAUUAAGCCAUGCA